Non-coding RNA from Chlorocebus sabaeus (green monkey), 18624 nucleotides. Lineage: Eukaryota; Metazoa; Chordata; Mammalia; Primates; Cercopithecidae. The record is from RefSeq and is a predicted model, not a curated record.
AGAGACGAGGUUUCACCAUGUUGGCCAGGAUGGUCUCCUGACCUUGUGAUCUGCCCACCUCGGCCUCCCAAAGUGGGAUUACAGGCGUGAGCCACCGCACCUGGCUCAGAACUACAUUUCCUUAACUGUGACUCUUUCCUUUGUGACUGAAAAUAAGUAUCAUUUUUAUCCAGUAAAUGUUGGCUGAGAAUUCGUAAGGUAUAUGCUUUAAAUUGGCUGUUGUAGAACAGGGAGAGAGAACUUGAUGAAGAGAAAAAUCCUUGGAAUCAGUGGUUUAUGACUUUUUUUUUUCCUUUUUGAUGACUGAACCUUAUUAUCGCAUAGUAGAAAUUGGAUUUUCUUCCAGAAACUUCUUUAGUACCUCUCAUUUGUAGCACUUUUAUCAAGAGUGCUAGUAUUCAGACAUGUAACCUACAAACAAAAUGAGAAAGACGUCAGAAUAACAUCAUAAUUCAGACUAUCCUGAGAACAUUUAUCUUCUGAAUAUUUUAAGAAAGAAAAUUAAGUGUUAAUUAUAUUGUAGGGUGUUGUCAUUUUAUACUUCAAGUUCCUGAGAAGAGAAUUUGAACAGUUUGCUAUUUGGAAAUUUUAGCAACCAGCUACCUUGCCUGUGGAACGUUUAAAAAAAAAGGAGAGGGAGUAGAUGGUGGUCCAUAGGCUGUAACUAGAAACUUUGCCUGUCUUAUUUAGCAUUUCAAAACAAAAACCAUAAACAAACAUCUCAGAUUCAAAACGGAAAGGAAUUUCUGGCAGGGCAGAAUGAAAUCUGAGACUGCAGAGUCCCAGUCUACAAGAGGUAACUUAUUUAGCUUCUUAUCCAAAGGCCACAGCAAAACGUUUCACAGCUGUGAUUAAACAAAAGGCAUCUUUUGUUGGAGAAUUGUGAUACUUCUUUUUAAGACUGCAAAAGACCUGCCAAAAUAAGGCAAAGCUACCUUGAGGAUGUUUGACCUGAACUAGACUUUAUGAAGUAGUUGGACCACUUCGGGCCUUAUGGUGUGAGGAAUGUGGGAUGCAUAGGCUUGGACCCCUCUGUGUGUGUGUUUAUAAGUGAGUAGAGAUAGAAUAUUCCAUCGUGUUAUCAAAUGCAGAUCUUGAGAACCUUUUCUCACUUCCCAUAGUUGGGAGCUUUGCUUUUUUUGAAAAGUACGGGCUUUUACAGUCUGAGUGAGGAAAAGGGAUGGAUUUUAGACAAUUUUAUCUCUGAAAGUCAAAGUAGAAGGAUUUUUAAACAGUUGGAGACAGAAUGGGUAUACUGUGUGCUUUUCAGAACCACUGAGUUCCUGUAUUUCAGGCAGAUUUUAAGAUUUACUACCACUACCUAUCACAUAAAAAUGAAAGACCAAAUAAAUUUCUGUAUUUUAAUCAAGAGUGUGACUGUAUUUGUGUAUAUCCUAGCUCAUUUCAGAAAGGGUUUGAGGCUGCCCAGAAAGGUAAAUAUUACAGAAUUCUUGUAUGUGAUAACAUGAUGGAGAAAAAAAACAGCCAUGACUUUUGAAUCCCCUUCAUCCCUUAAUAGCCCAGUGACUUAAAUAAAACCCCUCAACUUCCCUUGGCAUCACUUUGCCGUAAUUUGUCAAAAGGGAAUUAAAUAGUUACCUACCUGAAGACAGGGGAACUGAAUCAGAUGAUAUCUUAAGGUCCUACUGGUCAUAAGAUCUAUGUUUUUAUGACCUAGAAGUGAUAGACAGGAGUCAAGUAUUACCUUGUGUUUGCAGAGCCAGGGAAGGAAAAAGUGGUAGUGUCUACAUGACUGCCAGGUGCUGUAGACAGAAGGGCUUAGAGGAAAAGAUCAAGAGUUCCUCCAUGGUUAUGUUUAUCAAGCAGCAGUGGAGACAGCAAAGCAUAGUGUUGGGAAGUUAGUGACAGCUUUUAAAUGCCUGAAGUCUUUUAAAUCAUAUUCACUGUGGCCUAGUCUGGAUUCAGGGUAGAAUUCAAACCUCUCUUAUGCCUUCGCUGCCUUCCCUUUCUCCAUUUUCUUAUGUACCUCAUGAAUUAUUAAGACUAUGAGGUAGGUAGGUGACAGAGACUGCAAAGGGAGAAGCUAGAGGGAAGACAGGCCAAAACUUGCCCAUAUUCACAUGCGCAUUUCUGCCUCUGACACUAGGAGAGAGUUGAGUAAUUGCUGUUCUUCCUAAUACUGCAGGCAGCAGCCAAAUUCUCCACAUUCUUUUACCUUUGCUGCUGUUUUCACUUGCCAGGGAGUUUCCUUAAGGAGCAGACUGAAUUUAAAGAAACAUAGCAGUAAUAGUGCAUGAAAGGGGGGGGGGGGGUCACUGGCCAAACGUGGCAUGUUGGUGCCUCACGUUGGGAGGAUGAAAGGAUGAUUCCUGCAGAGGGACAUGCUGCACACUGCGCAAGCUCCCUCACCUUUGUGUACGGCUGAGCCACUGACCAGGAAGCUCUUUGCUUGUAUGUGAGACAGCAAAUAUUCACUAAAUAUGUUUCAAGUACAAGCCAACUGUGAAGCUUGGAAAGUUGUCCAGAAACUUCACCCUUCCUUUGCAUGUUGUCCAGCGGCAGGGCAUUGAGCGAGGUUAGGUAGUAUGAACCUGUGGCUCUAAAACUUAAAGUAAUAGGCAUUAUUCGAAAGAAUAUGAUGCCCAGCAGGGCUUCCAGUGUAUAUUAGCAGUCAGCUUGCUUGCCUUGUGGUUAUCACAUUUUUUGCCAAGAGCAGCCUUUCAGAAUGAGGUACUAGUUAAUUCCCAUUGGGCAUUUAUUCAUUAAUAAGUCUGCUGAAUGUGAAAUAUUCCAUUUGGGAGUAUGUGAUAUGAGAAAACUCAGCGGCUAAUUAUUACAUAGCUCUCUUCCAUGAUUCUCACUUUCAGUGCAAUUACCUAAACCACCAAUUCCUAGCUAUGUAAACUUACAUACUUUUUAGUUUUCUAUAAUGUUUUGCUUUUUUUUUUUCACUCCAAUCUGUGAAAUUGUUAAAGGUUUACUAAUACCUGAGUAAACAUUUUAUGUUACACUAUGGCUUCCUCUUUCUUUCCGUUUUAAAAAGAUAGUAUCAAAAGUUAAAUCCCGUUCCAGAUCUUACCCGUCUCUCUUCCAGGCUAGAUUUCUGGGAUGGGGUGGUGUUAAUUUACUAACCUGAGCUUUUGACCAAGCUAGGGUCUCCUUUACUCUUCUUUUGGUAUGUAAAUAGGUCUUUAUUUGCUUUUCUUCCAGGUUGGUUGGUGCAUAUUAGCUUAAGAACUUUUAAACCUUUGUGGCCGUAAUGAGAAUCUGCAUGCCAGGGUUCCAGCAUUUCUCUACAAAGCAGCCCGUGAAUGCAUGUGUGUUUGCUGUAGUGAGGGGUCUAUGUUAGAAGGUCAGUUAGAGACCCCACUUGCCCACACCUGUGUGCUGUGGUUCGGCCCUCCUCCUCUGAUGGAUCCCUACCACAGCCCAGUGCCUGCUGGAUCUCAAGUGUCCUGAAAGCCAUUGGAAAGAUGCUUUCCAGCAAUCUUAACAUUUGCCUCCAUGUUCUUCCUAGCAAGGAUGGGUGCACACAGCUUUCCAGCUACUGGUCAACCAGCCAUUGGCAGAAGGUGCUGCAAGAGUCAAUUCCUCUUUGAGGAUCCCUUCCUAUAACAGUGUCUGCACUAACCACAAAAAGUUCUGUGGAAAUGUUUGCAGGGGGAGCUUUUGACCUGCAAAUAUUUCUUCAGAACUUUUUGCCAUAUGAGAACCUAUGAAAUGUUUUAUGUAAUAUAAGUUGGAAAUGUUGCCAUAUAGGAACAUUCGAGAAGAUGAUAAAUGUGAGAAAAGUGAUAAAAGUUUAUACAACGAGGAUCUGUACAAGGUUGUGGUAGAUUUGCUGACCUAAAAAGAUGUACCCAGGGUAGUAAACUGUUUCUGUAGUGUCAGCCACUGGGCCCCUGAGUGGGAAUACUCUUUGAGAGACAGGAAGCUAAUUCCUUCUUUGAAUGUGUAGUUAACUUUGUGCCAUUGGAUGUAGGGUGUGCGCGUGCAUGUAUGUUUUUUCAGUUGCUGAAGGCACAACACAAAGAAUACUGUGCAUUGUAUUAUAGAUGUGCUAGAAACAACGCCCCAGCUUGAAGCAAGUUGACUGUAGUAUCUACUCUGUAGAUCAGCAAACUGAAAAUGACUUCUUAAUAAAAGGCUGCACAUUGUUUUACUUCUUGCAUUUGAAAAAACAGUUCUAAUUAAGAUGCUUUGGGUUUUAAACUGCCUGUUAAUUGGGAUAUCUGUAAGUAGGCAAGUAGAGCUUCUGAAUAUUGCUGACUUCUUUCUUGGUGAUUGGGACAAAAGUGGUUUUUUUGGAUUUCUUUUUUUUUUUUUUUUGGUUUUUUGUUGUUGUUGUUUUUUUAAUAGUAGGCCAUCAUUAAACAGUUUUGACCUUACGCAGAAACUUUAGAUGUGACAGCAGAAGGAAACAGCGGAAAUUUAGAGUGAGAAAUGGAAGACCUCUGUAGGGAAAUAAGUAAAAUAAAAGAAGCUAGAGGUGUUUUUUGUUGGCAGUAGAUGAAAUUAUUUUGAAACACUGCCCUGGGAAAAGGUGAGCCCUCAGCAACCAAGUUUAUUGACUAUCUAUUCAGGAAAUUGUAUUAGAUGCUUUGGAAAAAGAAAGGAAAAGAAAAGACUUUCUGCCAACUGAGGGCUGGAAAACUUGAGGGAGAUAAAGUGUUUACAUGCUUUAAUAACAUAAAGCAUGUCCAAAAGAAAUACAUAAUUACAGCUGUGUUUGGCACUGAAAAUAAUCCAGGUAUUAUAUUUUUUAAAUUGUGUGUGAAUAUGUAAGCGAAUGCCCUUGAGUCAGAAAUGCUUGGGCGAUAAUAUUUCUUGAGAGAAUGGAAAAGUAGAUGGUAUUAGGAGCUAGAAAGAGAGAGAAGGGAUAAAGGAUGACCACUAAUUAAGAAGGAACAGUGAUCUUUUUUUCUUUAGAGGGGACAUAUUUCAAAUGCAUAGUUAUUCCACCUCUACCUCUUUUUUUUUUUUUUUUUUUUUUUUUUUGAGACGGAGUCUCGCUCUGUCGCCCAGGCUGGAGUGCAGUGGCCGGAUCUCAGCUCACUGCAAGCUCCAAUCUUAGUAUAAUAAGCAUUUAACUUCCCAUAGGAAGUCUGCAUGUUAUUACUAAAAGCCCACAGGUAAGGGAAAAUUAGACCCCUAAAGACCUGACCAUCUUGCUCCUAAAGUUUUAGGUUUUCCAACUUUAUUUCCAGUUUAUCUUGGACAAAGACCCUUUGAGAGCUCAGAAAAGUAGGAGAUGUGGUCAACACAUUCUUCUUAAUAUCUAGUGCAACCAAAGACUUGGUAAGGCCAGCAACUGGAAAAUGGGCGUGGUGUCGGGUUUCAGACUCUCCCAUAGUUGUCUUCACGUCCUUUAAAAUGUGUUUGCAUCCCUCAAGCCCUACCACUUUAUGCUCUUUCCUUUGUGAAGCCUUCCUGUCCUGCCCAGGAAAAAGUAAUGCCAUCCCCCAUCCCCCAGUGACCGUAAAUAGCACUUUCUCCUUCCCCUGUUAUAGCACUUUUCAUACUGUGUUAGAGUUCACAUUUCUGUCUCUCUGCCUCAUUGUGAUCUAUUUGAGUGCCAGGAUUGUGUGUUAUUCUAGUGCUUGGCACACAGGAAGAACUCAAUGAGCAUUUGUUGACUAAAUCUAGAGUCAAGGUCAUCCAAGAUAUUAUACAAAAACUGUUUCAUCGAAUCGUUUGGUCUGCACUGUGGAAACUGAAACGAAUGGCACUCCCCAUUAAGAGAAUCCCAGUGAGAAGCCGUAGCAUUGCAGGUGAAGCUCAAACUGGUUAACUUUGCUCAUGCCCAUCAGUCUUAGAAUUUUUUGUGGUGUUUCCAUGAUGAGUUAGUUUCAGCUGUAUUUUUUUGGUGAAUAUUUAAAGAUAAUUUUUAUUUGUGUGGGCUUUUCUUCUUGUCAGUUUGUCAUAAAGGUGUCAUCUUUCAUUCACUAAGCCCUCAUCAGCUUGUAAGAAUUUUCCUUGUGGGUGGUUGCUUGUAACCUUCUCUUGACUGCCAGGGAUCUGAUGUACUAAACAGUUGAAAUACUGUGGUGAUCAACUGCUUGUAAACAAUAACUGAUAAAUUGGUUAUAAAUUACUUUAUCAACACACUUCAGAUGACCAUAUCAUCAUGACUUGGUGAUGGCAAAAUAGACUUCUGGAUUCUCAGCAAAUCCAGGAAUGUGUCUUAAUAAACAUUUAUGUUGAUUAAUCAGGAGGGUGUUUGCUUUAAGAAACAUAUAUUGAAUGUUCAAUAUGUGAGUGCCAAGUGCAGUAUGAUGCAACCUGUUUACCGCUUCAGGUGAUCUUCAGAUAUCCUAAGGAAUUUUUAACUGUACAGCUUCUUUGGGGAAGGAAAUCCGAAGCCAACAACUUGAGGGUGGAAGUGUGUGACUGUGAAUAAUUAAAAUGCCUCACAAUAGUUCGAGCAGGAAUUCCAUAGGAAUGCACUUUAAGGCAUUUAGGAAAGCAAAAUUCCGUUUGGAUUUACUCCAAACCCUAUGACUUCAGAGACAGGAAUUUUUGAUGACUAGUGGCUGGAGCCCCAACUUGUUAGUUAGGAAUUCCACAUUCAGUGUGGAAUUGUUUUUUCUGUAGCACUAGUUAUAAGUUCUUUGUUUGUUUUUCUAAAGGUUUUAAGGAGGUUUACAAAUUAAGAUGGAAUAAGACAUUAGAAACUUAAGGAUACAGAGCAAAUUAAAACCUUGAUACAUUUGGUGCUAAACUUUUCAACUGCUAAAGAUAGAGAGUUUUGGCCAAGAUAAAAUAUAGAGAGAGUCAAAGACACAUGCAGAAUUCUCUUGGAUAUAAGCUCAGGUACCUGUGCCAUUUUAUCACUUUAGUCAAUGUGCCCAUUUUCUUAGGCCAGGUUUAAUUUUCUGCUGCAGCAUGGCCUUUCAGCUUUCCCGAGUUUACAAUGCCCAUCUCAUACCACAUGGAAAUUGUUGAUAAUGUUAGUGUAUGGUUGGUGGCUUUCCCAGUAUCCCACUUCAGAUCCUUUUAUUGAUCAUCACCAGUUACAAAAGUUUUAGGAAAGGGAAGGAGAGAAGCUGGAACUGAUGGCUAAGUACAGUUAAUAGCUGUAGAGCUCUGGUUGUCCAUCAUGAACAGUGGCAAUGAACAGUGAAGAUUUAAGCAGGGUUAUUUUUUGAGGGUCCGCUGAUUUUCCUAUAACUCUUUAAAAAUAUUUUUAAAACUUUUAUAUGGCUUCGUUACUAUUGAAAGCUUAAAAAUCUGUUCCUAGACUUUCUGGGCAGGUAUGUUCUCUUUUGAGUGUUGCCUUCUCUAAGACUUUAUCAGCAGCAGGAGUAUUUGAGCCAAUGGCAAAUGCUGCCAGAAUGAGAAGUGUGUGUGUUUCUCAAAACUCGUGAUCUCACAGUUAAAUCGAGGGUGUAGGUAAAGGACCCAGAACUGUUCUUGCGGGUGGAAUAGCACACUUAUCCUCAGACUUUAGUAGAGUCAAUGAAUGGAGGCUGAGGACUGGGGAACACUCUUGAAGGAGGGAGUGCCCAUCAGCCGGUAAGCCAAAGUAAACAGUUCUUGUAACUGAAAAAUAGACUUCCUGGAAGGAGAGAACCGGAGAAGUGGGUGUGAAGUGCAACCAGCAAGUACCGUUUUCAGUGAUACAGACAACUGGGUUAACCUGAGUCCUGACAAGAACCUCUCAGAGCUAUUUGGGGAAAUCAGUUGCUUGAACCAGCCUUUGACUGGCCUGUCGUGCCUACAGCUGUACCUAAAGAUGGCACUUGGGGAGAAAAGGUCACGUUUGUGAUAGAGAAAGCAAACCGAUGGGGCAUUUUGAGAGGUAGAAAUGAAGUCAUCAGUAGUGGAGCCGGUGGACCAGCGGAAUGGCCAUAUGGGAAGGUAUCCCUGAGCCUGUAUGUAUGGAAAUGCAGGCAUCCUUCUCUGUCAGUCUUUUGUCACAGUGAGAAAACGUCAUUACAGUGGACAGCUGUGCACACGUUGGAGAUUAGGUGAUGUGUGCACAUACUGGUGCAUGUGCAUCCAUGUAUACAACAUGCACACCUGCAAAAAGGAUGGCUCACAGGGUCAUGUGCAUGUCCUGAUAGUCUAUUAUGUCCGUUCUUCUAUGAAAGGAGUAUGUUUUUCUAACUGAAGCUGUUAGGUUCUGUUAAUUCCAACAGAAAAAAAAAAAAAAAAAAAAAAUCUGCCUCUGGCCAUCAUUUGUUAAUUUACAUAGAUUGGAUACUUGUUGUCGGUCUCCUAAGUGGCUUACAUAAAGCUGUGGGCGUCUUUUCCUGUGUCUUCUCUUCUGCAGUUCCUAAGGUACCUACCAGGUUUAUAUUGCUGAUGUCCUACCCAUGCUGUGUGUCAAGAAAGGUAGACUAUCAAGAAGUAUCGAUGCAGAUAUUCCUUAGAAGUUUUCAUGCCCAAAGAUUCUCAGAGCUUAGUUGCAUGAGGAAAGGGGCCUUGCCUUGUAAAAAGAGACAGAAACCCCUUGUUAAAGGGGUCACUCAGAAAAAGGUAUUAUCUAAAUUCCCUCUUGGUAGUUUUAUUUCUUGAAUGUAUUCCCCAUCACUAGCUAUGUGUGCUGGAGCCAAUUGUUGGACCCACGGCCAUCCUUCAAAGAAUACUACUCUAAAGGGAACAUAACUUUACUAGACAGUUUGGGAAAUAGAAGAAACAAUUAUCUAAAAUGCUCUUGUUCCAAACACAAAAACUAGCUUCAUGUUUUUAUAUAUAACCCUGCGUAGUCUUACUCUGUAGACAUCCUUUUUCCCCCUACACAUCUUGUGUCAUGUUUUUUUUCCCCCACCUAACAUCUAUCAAAUACAUUGUCCUAUGUUGCUACCUUGUCUUCAUUAUUAUGAUUUGUCAAGUAAUUGGGUUGUACUGACUGCAGUGUUACUCCUCAUUUCCUUUCCCCUUUUCUUUUCCAUACUACUUAAAAAGUAAGAAAGGAAAAAAAAAUUCUGUCGAAGAGAAAAUUCUUGUGUAGUUGUAGUGGAAUUUAUUUUCCUGAGUGCCUGGGCGUGCUCCAGAUAGCUGUGAUUGUGUCAUCUCUUUCUUACUAAGCAUCUGACCACUCACCACCUGUGCAUCUGAUCCCUGUAGGCUCAUGGCAUGAGGGCUGUGGCUCUUGAUGUUUUUGUUUGAUGUACUUAGUGUCACCAGAACUGCAUUGACUCUUAAGAGUAUGGAAGCUUUGUAAAGUUAACUAACGAUUUGUAGGUUUUGUGCAAGUAGCCAGCUCUCUAGGUAGAGACAUUUUAAUUCUGUUGCUUUUUUUUUUUGGGGUAGCAUUAUUAUUGGAAUGCAAAUGUUUGCUUAGUAUGAAAAAUUGAUAUAAUUAACUAAGUUCUAAAUGGGGACUAGAUAUUAACUUCAAAAUGAAUUUGUAACUUGUAUGCUUUGCAUAUGCCAUAUGCUGUUGUUUCCAAGGAUUAAAAGCAGUUUUCCACUUCCACCAUCUUAUAAAUUAAAACCAAAGGCGUAGAUGUUAUCCAACAAGGCACCUACAAAAUUUGAAAAAAACUCUCUGUCAUUAUCAGGAUUAAGUUUGUUGAAAUUCUAUCAGGAAAAUAGACUUUUUCUCGUAUUAUUGUUAUUAUUGACCCAUAUAAUGCAACUCAUACUGGUUUCAUGUUCAGAAGGUAUAUAGUAUCUGUUGUAAUAUUUCAGAUUAAUUUCUGCAAUCUUUGUUUAAAAAUACAAAUCCUCAAAACAAAUUGUAUAAACAGUAUACAAAAUCAAAUCACCAGGCUUCAAAUAUAUUUUAUAUAAACAUUAAGUGCUCUUUGGAUUAGCAAAAGGAAGACAAACAUUUUGAUUACCUCUUUAAUACUCAAUUUUUGUUUCUGAAUUACUAAUCUUUGAAGAUAUAAUUAGUGUGGGAUACAUACCAAUCAACAUAGUCCAGAAAACACUGAACCUUGGAAAGAGUACCUAUUUAGAGUACCUUAGUACUUUCUAAGCCACAGUAUGUGGCUAAGUGAUUAAUAUGCACUAUUACACUUUCAUAAAUACUUUUCAGACAAACAUUGACUUAAGGGAGCAUACUUUGUACUGAAAAACUAAUUCGAAGGUGAAAUCACAUCACAUUUAACAGUUUAACCUUGUGUAUUUGUAGAAUUUUAGUUAGAUCAUAGGAUAAUGACAUUAGCUAAAGUCAGCAAGCAUGUAAAAUAAACAUUUUGAAGUUUAAUCGUUAUUUAUGUUCUACAAUAAGAAGUAUAUGGCGCCUACCAUAACCACCACUACCAAAAUGUGUAUGCUGAAAUUGUGUCUCCAGGAUAAAUAAAGAGGUGUAAGGCAAGCUGACAUCCAUUAGAAAAAAGGUUUAGAAAGGGAGAGAGGGCCUGGACUUUCCUAAGCUUCACCCCAACAUAGGGCCUACAGCUCCUAUUGGAACCAAUUUGUAAAACUUCAAGGUGGGAAUCAAUAGAUAGUCUCCAGUAUUAUAUAGUUCCUCUUUAAUCAGUUGAUCUUUCUUAUCAACCAAAGCUUCAGGUGGUUUUUAUUUUUAUUUAUUGCCAAAAGCUUCUUACCAAUGUGAUUAGAAAUGUUUAAAUUCAUUUAUAAUGAAAUGGAUUUGUAUCUUCCUUGCUCGACAGUAGAUAGUGAAGCCUCCGUGACCUGUGUAAGCUGCAGGUUGAGGCGAAUGUGUAAACAGUAGGCGAGCGUUCAUACAGUGUCCCUGGACUGCAUUUCCUUGCUUACAGAGCCUCGGAGCUGGGCCAGCUCGCAUGAGCGGGAGGAGGAGAGGCUCAGUUUUGAGAGCCCUGGGUUUAUUUCUGGCUGUAGGGAUAUGGAAUGUGGGAGAAGGUGUAAAUAUGGUUUGAGGGAGGUCGUAGACUUGGAGGUGCUUGCCAGGGGUAAAUGCUGGAUGGAUUUGUUUAUGGAUGGAUUUGAUUAUAGCUGCUUCACACUUUUACCUCUGGAGUUGGUGUUUCCAAGGAAUGAUGCUCAUUGUCUGGAUCUCCUUUAGUGGGUAUCUCAGAAUUCUUUGCUGCACCAACCACAACAGUUCUCUUCCCUUUCUUUUGGUGUUUGUAUUCAAAUGCCUGACAUCCUGACCUACUGUGAGGGAUUUUUAAAAUACUGAACACCAAGCUUCUUGGGAAAAGACAGGUAUGUAAAUACUACAAGCGUGUAGCAUUUGGGGGAUGGAGUUGUGGGAUUUUGGAGUUUGUGACCCCCAUGUGUCUGUGCAUCACUCUCUCUAAUGUAGAGAGACAGAACAGCAGUUCCUCAGCCCUGUCUUUUGUCUCUUCAUGGGUUUGUCACUGAUUUCCCCUUUCAGGGUCUGAAUCCCUUUCCCUUGCCUCCCCCCAUGUGGGUUCCGGAAGGCCCACAUGCAACAGCUGCCCUUGGUCAACCCCCAGCCCUGCACACAGGUGUUUUCUGCUGUUUGGAGCUCAGGGGCACUGUCUAGCUAGCUGAUGACAGCUCACUGGUGGCACUAGUCUCACUCCAGUGCUGGCUCUGCCCCUUUGGCCCUGUUGCUUCCUCCUUGGAGGAUGAGUCACCCCAGUUUUGGGGCAUGUUACCCCCCUGUAUGACUAGCACACAUUGCAUCUACUUGCCAAGGAGUGUUAGGCAUACAGUCUCAACCUUUCCAGUAGAAAUGACUUCCUCUGAAAUUUAGAUGAUAAAUUCCAUAGGGAGAAAUCGUGUUUUAUUAAUGAGAGACAAAAUUGUGUACUAGUGGGAGUUCAGGCUCAGAAGCCAGUGCAUAGUCCAGCCUGGAGACUUGCAUGGUGUGUUACCCUGGCCAACCGCUCCCCAACCUCUGUUCAUGAUUUCCAUCUGUAAAAUGGGAAUAGCAAUAGUAUCCAUUUAUUUUGGGUGGUUAUGAGGAAUACUUAAUUCAUUCAUGUAAAGCACUUGAAUAGUGUCUUGUAUACAGUAAGCACACAGUUAAUGUACAUUGUCAUUGUAUCUUUGUACCUCAACAUCUAACACGAUGGUUUAUACAUAGCACAUACUCAUUAAUGUUUUGUUGAGUAAAUGUAAUAUUCAGAAGGUGGGAAAGUGAUUUCCUCUUCUCUUACCAUAAACUAAGAGUAAUAUUUGGUUGAAAUAAAGCAUCAUAGGCCUGAAGACAUUUACUCCCUAGCUGCUGGCAGGGGAGUAGAAUGUUCCAAAUUCUAUGUUGAUAACUGGGUGCCUGUGAUUUGUUAGUCAUACCUAACAAACUCAGUCUCUCAGGUGUUUCAGUGAUAUUUACUGGCUCCCAAGGUAAUUUUGAAAGGCCAAAGCCAUCAAGUGAUUUGUUUUCAGUAAGCAUUAUUAUUGGGAUAUUUCAGACUCCAACAUGUGCAGUGGACAUAUUAACGAGAAUUCACCCUUUCUAAACUUAGGGGCUUACUCUGCAUUACAACUUAUGUUUGCUUUUAAGGUGAUGGAUGGAUAGAUAGAUGCUCUAUAAUUGAAUAGCCUACUGGGCUUCUGUGUAGUCUAUUCUAGCACAGCACUGUGUAAGUAGCAGGUGUUCAGUUAAUGUAUUUUAAAUCAAUGAGUAAUUGAUGGGAUAUUUUUCUUCACAUUACAUCACAUUGAAGGUGUUUGUGAGGAAGUUUUGUUCAUGAUUUUCCUCCUAGGCAAGCGUCACCUAACAUGUUUCUCUCUAGCUGUGGGGUAUUGAAUUUGAGGCUGCUCUCAGCAUUAUUGCUCAUCUCAAAGAGGAACAAAUGGUCCCCCAAAUGGUCCAUAUGCGACAGUGGGGGAAGGAGUGCCACCACUCAUUUUGAGGUGCCUGGGCCAUACUCUGGAUGAAGCACACAGCUCUUAACAGAAGGAGGUCUCUGUGUUUCAGAUUUUUGUAACUGUGAAAUCCCUGCCUUGUAUUCAACUUGAAAUAAAUUUAUCAGUGCAAAUGAGUACACUGUGGUUCUUGUGUGGAAAAAUUAUGCAGGUGGUUUGAAGGAUUCAUCAUUUUAUUAAAAGACUAGAAGAAUGUACAAAUGCUUUCCUUCUUUCUCAUGUUUUUCUCACCCAAACUGAAGUGGUCCAUUUAAAAUGUGAUCUUCAUAAAAGGAAGAGCUGUCAGAGGACAUCUGAUUUAUGAGCCAUCUGAUUUGCUUCUGCUGUAGUUCUGCUUCUGCUGGGGUAUGAAAAUCAGGCACUUUUAUUUCAGCCCUGACAACAGUACAGCCUUCCCAAAGUAUAAGAAGUGUAGCACGCAGAGGUAAUAUGCAGUCUUCUGAACAGAGCACUGAACUGGUUUUUAAUGAAGGGUAGUAUGUACUUGGGGUUCAAACUCUAGUUAAUUCCAGAAAACAUAUUCUCUCACUAGUGUUGGGUCUUAGUAAAUGAGUAUUCUGUGUUGAAUCCUUGCUUGAGAGGAAAGAGGUCAUAAUUGGUCAGGGAUUCUAUUUCUUUUUUUUUUUAGAAAAGCAAUUGCUUAGAAUGAAAUGAAUCUGUAUCAGGGUAUCUUUUUGUAGGAUCAUAUUAAUCAUCUUACCCACAAACUUACUCUGUGGUCAAACUUUAGUCAUAAGGAUUUAUUAAAAGCAAUGAUUUGGUUUAAAAAAAGAAAAAAUAUGUGUAUGGGAGGAAUGUAGACAUUUAGUUGAAGUACAGUUGAUAGACUUUGACCACUCAGGGAUAUUUUCUUCAUGGACUGUCUUACAGAGGCAGAACCUAACCGCACAUGCUUCUUAUGACUCUGAUGCAUGAAUGGCAGCCCUAAGUGGGCUCCUCUUCACUUAUUCCUUCUCCCCAAUCUCUCCAGCACUGUUUUCCAUUUCCUUCCCUUCCAGAGUCUGCGCUUAUCAGUCCGGUACUCCUGUCCUCAGAGUGCCAGGCCAGCCAGGCCAGCUCCACAUCCUCCUCCACAAGACCAAGCUGAAGUCUGCCGGUUCAUCUGUUGAUGUUACACAGUUUGAGCUCAAGCUCCUUAUUCCUUGCCGGCUUCCCUUUUUUGAGUUCCACUGGAGUGGUACUCUUGUGUCAGAGGGAUUCAGCACUGCCCACUGUGUCAUGGCACUCUAAGCUGCUCCCCUUGGGUUCAGAUGAGGCCAGAGUUGUCCAGUCCCAUCAUGCUGCAGCCCUAAGCUCCAGAGGGUGACCUGGAUCGGAUGCGCAUCCUGGAGCUUAAUUUCAUAAGCCUUGGGGGCCUGCAAGCAGGAGGAUUUGGAAACCCUUGAGAGGCCAGGUCCUGUGGGUUUGAGCCCAGACUCUACAGAGUUAAAACCUACAGGACAAAUAAAUCAAAAGAAGGACAUAAAGAACGUUUGGGAGACACUGAGUCUGCAAGGCAAAUAAAUCCAGUAUUGCAAGGGGAGGAUUUUGUUUUGGGAGGUUGAAGUUUUGUUUGCCCUCCGAAUGAAGGUGGUAUUUCUAUUCGUUAGCCAAAAAGACAUCAGACUUUGAAAAUAACUGAGAUCAGAGCACUGUUGCCACACCAGGAAUCAGAACUGUGGCAUUGGAAGUUUCUUCAGAAAAGCACCUUUAGGCCAGCCUAAUUUUACAGAUUAAGGAACUGAGACCCAUAAAAGUUUGUCAUGUUCUCUUAUUUAAAAAAAAAAUUUCGACCAUGUGUGCGGUUAUGGCCUCUCUUUCCUGCCUAACCCAAAGAGGUCAAGGAGCUUUCUCUUGCCCACUCUGGAGGGAACUCCUGGGGUCCCCCGCUGCUCUCCCUGCCCCAUGACUUUGUCCCAGAAUACAUAACAGUGGGCUGGAUCAGCCUCUGCUGAACUUUUCCCUGCCAGCCUCCCUGCCCGCCUUCUUGCCCCCGCCCCUACCCCCCACACAGGAAUCUAGAGCCCUCCCAGUGAUGGUGUGAAGCCACUGGAAUGUGGCAUUCUGACCCCUGGCAGUUGAGUGUCCUGGAUGGACCUGGCCUGGGAAACAGGAAGGACUCGGGGGAGGGGGAAGGAGUGCCCCAUGGCCUUGAGGUGGGAUGGAGGGAAAGGAAAUGCUGCCCAGUGCGGCCCCACAGGCAGCUCCCGCUAGACUCCCACGCUGGGGGCGGGGCUGGCAGGGCAGGGAGCCGGUAGGUUUCCUCAGACCAGGCCUGUGGCCGGGGACCUCUGGCAGAGCCAAGCUCAGGAAGGUGAGCUGCCAGAGCAGUUGGGGUGAAGAGGAAAGGAUGUGAGGGGAAGGAGGAGGAGCAGGCCAGAAUGCAGAGGAAAUUGUAGUAGGAGAGGACAAAGGUGAUGGAUGAGAGAAGGAAUGUCCAGUAACUGUGUGAACUAGAUGCACUUCUCACUUCAGAAACCAAGUAUGUUAGCAGGAAAGACCCUCCUAAAGAAAAUUCCAGCCAGGUGCAGUGGCUCGUGCCUGUAAUCCCAGCUACUCAGGAGACUGAGGUGGGAGAAUUGCCUGAACCCAGGAGGCAGAGGUUGCAGUGAGCCUAGAUUGCGCCACUGCACUCCAGCCUGUAUGAUAGAGUGAGACUCCAUCUCAAAAAAAACCUUCUGUGCCAUUUUUAUUUUAGAGUAAAGCACACCCCGUUUGGAAACCCCAGUGCUUUUUAACAUGCUCAGCUUUGGCAAAGAUAGAGUCACUGGGGUUAGUGAAAGGGGUGGGUGCACAUGCAAGUGUGAGGCCAACUGUUACUCACCUGUCCCUUUCUGUUUUCUGUCAUUGGUGGACCCACCUGGACCAUGCUUGGGUCUGUUACCUCCCUCGAAGAGGUUUUCAGAAAAACCUGAGGACAAGCCUCAGGGUGAUGAUAUGCCCAGCAGCUCCUUGCUCCUCUCCAGGGUUAGGGAACUUUGUAUCCUCAGCUUCCUCCCAAUUAAAGCCUUUGGCAGAAUCAGGAUGCAGAACCAGGGCCUGGAACCGCCUCAGCAAACCCUUGUGGAACCACUAGCAGGUCAUUGCUGUUUCCAAACUGCGCGUGUUGGCAAGCUAGCUUUUCGUUGGGGAUGUUUAAAAUUAAAUUCCAUGCUCGUGGGGAAGGAAUAGAAACUAUAGGCAGAGUCUGUUUCUGAAACACCUGUUUUAAGUGGAGAGCGAUCCUAACUGCUGCCAUACCUGAAGGGCUUGUGUUUUCUGUGCAGCUGGAAUCUCUCUGUGCUGAGUAAAUUAACUUCUGUGCCCAGGGUAGUCUUGAAUGAUAAUUAGUGCUCCGUGGCCAUGCCGCACAUCCUGUCUGAAGCAAGGGUGGUAAUGUCCUUUCCUCUCUUCUCACAGGACAUUAUAUGAAAUCAUAGGAAUAGCGGCCCUGGUGCUAAGUAGAAAUAUCAUGGUUAUGGCACUAAUUUAUUGGGCCUACCAGCCCAGGUGUGCAGCACCCCUUUCCUUCAGCCGGUUGAUAAGAAAGACACCAGGUGAGGCCCAUUGUGAUGCUGCAGGCAGUGUUGCAGCUACGUCGGCCUGUGUCUCCCGGCUUAAGGGGUGCAUCUUUUGGUCUGCCUUGAGAACCUCCAGUCUUCCAUAAAUUGGAAGUUCAAAACAAUGGAAUUAACAAUGGAAAGAACAAGCACGUACACAUAAGUUUAAAGCUGUGCAUCUCUGUAUAUUCUAAUCCUUUGAAACUUGGUGAUCAUUAUUGUUCGUUACAUAGGAUAUGGAUUUGAUCAAAGCAUCCUUUGGGAAUUAUCUGCGUUUGGUAUUUCUUUUUAUAUCCUAAAAACUGUUAGAGGUAUUUCCACAAAUUGUGAGCUUUGUCAUUUGGAUAUUUUUUUUGAGACUUCUUUUCCACUCUAAACGCCAACUUUAAAUAGAAUAACAUGACAGAAUCAUGGUCUUGAAAAAUCCACAUACUUAACUGCAUAUGGGAAUACAUAUUGCUGUAGCAUAUGGAAAAAGGACUGAGUGAUGCAUACCUGUUUUAUUUACAUUUUCUUUUGGAAGCAAGUUAUUUUCUACAUGUGUAUGUUUAUACCUAUGUGUGUUCUAAUUUGAAAUGUAGAAAUCUGUAAAAAAUUUUUCGUUAACUUUGACACUGCUGUGUUUUAAAAUAUCUGAAAGUUACCUGUUUCCUAGUCCUUGGAAGGCUUGAAUUAUUAUAAAGUUUAUUUAUUUGCAUCUCAGCCAUUCCCAAAAGAUUUUAAAUGUGAAUGCAGAAGUAGCAAAUAAACAAACCUGAAACUUUGAUACCUACAGAACAUUUUUAGAGCUGCUUCUUUUUUUCCAUGCAGUGUUGUUAGUAGAGAAUAGUAUUAGUUACCUCAUAGAGCAGUCACUUACUCAGGUUUACCGUUCAUUUACUUCAGCAAGUGGAUAUUGGGGCCUGCUGUGUGUUCAGCACAGAGUGAGUGUAGAAAAGAGAGAAGCAGUUUCUGCUCCCAAGAAGCUCAGCAAUGCCUUAGAAUAAGGGAAGUUCUGGGGGUGGGUGUGCCAGAAAGAGAGAGGGAUGGGUGGGAAAAAAUUGAAAAUCAGACUUCUUUGAAGAAAAGAUAUUUAAGCAGGGCACAGUACGGUAGUAGCACCUUUCUAGGUAGACAGGAGGAAAUAAAACUGUUCCUAAGCAGAGCAGUGGGAUCCGUAAAGGCCCAUUGGAGUGAACGUGCAUAGCAUACUCAGGAAAUCAGCUGAUUGAGUAAAUAUUUAUGGAGGCUCUACUAUGUGCUGAGCCCUCUUCCAGGUGCAGAAGAUACAGCAGUGAACAAGACAAAAAUUCCUACCAACUGGAGCUUUCUGAUAGAAUCAGCCAAAUUGGUAAGGAAAAGAUACAGCAUACAAGAGGAGAGAAGUGCUAUGGAGAACAAUAAAGCUGAGAAAGGGGACAGAGGCGGCCACAGUAGUGUCUUGUUUGCAGUUUUAAUGGUCUGGCAAAGUCUUGCUGGAAGUUGAGUUUGAUUGAAGACCUGAAGGUGUGCUGGAGUGAACCAUGCGCGCACCUGGAGUAGGAUGUUCCAGAGAGAGGGAACACAAGUGCCAAAGCCUUGAGGCCGCAGUAGCUGGGGAGGGGAAGAGCAGAUGUCUGCACAGUGGGAGGUAACUGGAAGGUCAGCUAGGGCUAGGCAAAGGCCUAAUUUAUCAGUGUGAGGACUUGACCCUGUGGUCAGGAGAGUGCCAUCAUAGAUUUAUAGAUACGGCUUGUGCUGUCAUCUCUGGGACCUCCGAAGUGAGGACCCAGUGACUUAGAGCUGGGUGUCUGUUAGGUAUAGAGGUAAGAUGCUACACAAAGGAAAUUCCAGUUUUGUAAGAAAUGUGUAAAUAUGUUUUUCAAACAUGUUCUUAAGACUUUUUAAUGUUUCUGUGUUCUUGUUAUAGUUGUCUAGUUUAUUUCCCAUGAAUGUUAGGGAUCAGAUCGCUGCUGUGUAAAUCAUAGUCCACCCAAGGUGUUCAUAUUCAUUUCUUGGUAUGGCCUAAGGCAAGAGUCCUGCUUUUCAUUGUCCCCUAAUUUAUAUUUGCUUCUUUCUGAAGAGUUUUAAAAUGGAUUUCAAGGACUUGAUGCCUUUAAAAUCAGUGGAUCAGUUCCUGUGAGGUUUCUUAAUAGGCCACAGUUGUCUCUCUGAUUCUUAUUUCUAAUUUAUAGCACUAUUGUCCACCUAAACAUGCAUUAACCGUGUGGAUCUUAAUGAUGUUUUAAGAAAAAAGGUUUUGACAUACAUGCCAGACUUUCACUUAAGAUGAAACUGGGCAACUAGGAAAUGGUAUGCCGUAUGUAUGAAGCAACGUUCAUUGAAUAUUGCUGGCAAAUUUAGUUUUGUUGCUGGGAUGACCAGAUUCUUGGACUGUGUAGUAGGAAUAAAUAAAACCAAACAGAAUCUUGUUUCACCAAAAAAAAAAAAAAAAAAAAACAAA